UCUAAUUAAGAGAAACUAACAAAAAACUCAAAACAACGGAAUUGGGCCCCUGAUGUGCAAGCCCACAGAGGAAAGGGGUAGGUCCAUGGCAUGGGGGUGUAAUAAGCGAGAAUUCAUUUUGGAGCAAUGGGCCCAAACAGCCACAACCUAAGCACGCCGAUCGAAGCCCAAACGCCACCGUAAUAAGUCCCCAAGCCUCAGCAAACACUACAAGCUCCAUCCCGCUUUCGACGUUCACUUCCAUGUCUGUCGCCGGCUUCUUCUCAGGCUAUCUUCAACUUCGCAUUCGCGACGGAAGUAAUCGAAGGAAAGCAGCUCUGACAUCUCACUCUCGUUCAAGGAAAAGACCGGCGAACACCUAAUUGACUCCGCCGCGCCGACGAUGGCGGCGUCCCUAAUCGACACCUUUACUCUCCUCCAGAUUACGGAUCCACACAAAAAAUAACCCAACUCCGAAUCCACGGCUCCGACUAGCGACGCCAACGGACGAACCCUAACCAAUUCUAUUCAAAAUUAAACGCUACCUACGAGGAGUUAGAGCCUCUCACCCGAGGGCUUUAAUUCCUCUCUUCAAACUCUACCUUACUAUAACCUCAAAUGAAGCGAAGGAUACGAGUUUCGACAUUACCUCAUCAAAGAAUGCGACUUAAACGGCGAUGACGGCAACGGAAAUAGGUAAGCUCUUGGUCCUACGUCCUUUCCUUCUUCUUCUCCGUUCUUCUUCUGAAAUUUGGCCCUGGUUCGUCCCUUGCUUCAAACUCUCACACUCCUUUUUUGGAUUGACAAUGAUGGAUGGAGAUGAUGAGGAGCGGUGAGGAUGAAGAAGUUUGAGCGCGGUAGCUCUGUUGCAGGUUUUGUAGAAGAAAUUGCCGAUGGAGGAGAUGAAUGGAGAGUUGAGUCCAAUUGGUGAAGAACUCAGAAAGACAGAAGGUGAUGGAAAAAAAUGGAAUUCGAUUUUUAUUGAAGGAUCCUCCAGAGCUUGGUUGAAGGUUCGUCCGCCAUUGGGAGUUUAUUCACGCUGCUGCUAUUCGGAUUGUGGUUGGCUGCUGCUGUUGAUGUCGUUGUUGCAGCUUUUUAUGAUUUGUGUUUUCAACCUUCUGUUGUGUCGUGCUCAGUGUGAGUUAUAGAUGCAUUUCAUUUGGCCACGUUUUCGUCUUGGUUUUGGCGUCUUGUGCCUUGCAGCUUUCGCAUUUGGAGUUGCUUGUACGUCGCCGUUUAGAUGCGUUUGGCUUGCGUUCCUGGAUGCUGCAUAUUUUUUGCUUGCUGCGUUUUGCAUUUGUUGGUUUGCAGUGUGCUUAUGUACUUUGGUAGCAGCCUUUGGCUCUCACUGCCGUGGCUUUGUUUUUACUUUUCAUUCAAUGUAAAAAAAAAAUCUAAUUA
Lathyrus oleraceus (garden pea) is the source of this 1380-nucleotide long non-coding RNA. RefSeq lists it as uncharacterized. The transcript has 2 exons. The record is from RefSeq and is a predicted model, not a curated record. NCBI's taxonomy places the organism in Eukaryota, Viridiplantae, Streptophyta, Magnoliopsida, Fabales, Fabaceae.